GAUAAAAAAAAUACCUAAUUGGUUAAAAGCGUCCGCCUUGGAUGUGGGUGGUCGUGGGUUCGAACCCCGGCUGAGUCA
Potamilus streckersoni is the source of this 78-nucleotide non-coding RNA. Lineage: Eukaryota; Metazoa; Mollusca; Bivalvia; Unionida; Unionidae. The record is from the annotation of a GenBank genome assembly.